AGAGACAGCAGCAGCCGCGGUAAUCCGUAGGUGGCGAGCGUUGUCCGGAAUUAUUGGGCGUAAAGCGCGCGCAGGCGGAUAGGUCAGUCUGUCUUAAAAGUUCGGGGCUUAACCCCGUGAUGAGAUGGAAACUGCCAAUCUAGAGUAUCGGAGAGGGAAGUGGAAUUCCUAGUGUAGCGGUGAAAUGCGUAGAUAUUAGGAAGAACACCAGUGGCGAAGGCGACUUUCUGGACGAAAACUGACGCUGAGGCGCGAAAGCCAGGGGAGCAAAUGGGAUUAGAUACCCCCGUAGUCCCUGUCUCUUAUACA
This 309-nucleotide ribosomal RNA is filed under the name uncultured bacterium. Its description in RNAcentral is "partial 16S ribosomal RNA". It matches the Rfam family "Bacterial small subunit ribosomal RNA", at positions 504 to 809 of the family's 1533-position model. The record is from RNAcentral.